This is a long non-coding RNA of Patella vulgata (common limpet), 6007 nucleotides long. RefSeq lists it as uncharacterized. The record is from RefSeq and is a predicted model, not a curated record. NCBI's taxonomy places the organism in Eukaryota, Metazoa, Mollusca, Gastropoda, Patellidae. The transcript has 3 exons.
UCUACUACACAGGGGGCUUGUGAUAUUCCGAUAUUUCUGCACAUGACGUGUUCGUCUUCAGAAUUCAAACAAUUCAUAGUGGAUGUGUACACUAGUAUGCGCGAAUGUCGAGCAUAAAACGGUCGUGAUUUUCUAAUAGUGUGGAUAUUUACAGCUAUCAGUCGAUUGGAAACAUAACAACAGAUCGUUCGAACUUAGCGCAUUGUUUUUAAACUCAAACUUUUAUCACUUAAAGUGAAUAUUAACACCUAUUGAUCGAUUGCGAACUUAUCAUAGUUGAUAUUAAUAACAGAUCGUUGAGACUAAGUGUAUAGUGUAAAACUUUUAUCAGGGUGUUUUUAAAAUAGCGUGUUCAUAUUGAAUCACGCUGUUUGCUGCUGUAGUGUUUAAACCGUUUCCAGCGGAUUAAACAUAGCGAGUGUUCAUCUUUGGAACAAAAUCAAUCGAUUGCAAAGACUGUUAAGAGAGAAUCUUUUAUUGGCUAAAGGUAAUUAUGAGCAAUGUGUUAUAAUUGUGUAUCUUGAAUUGACUCGACUUAACAAAUGAAGCGAUAAAGGAUAUUUAUAGGAUUAGUGGGCUGCUGCUCAGAUAGAAAACAUAAUAAGAGUAGUUGACGUGAAUUUACCCAGAUAGCAUGUGUUAUUGUUCGUGCUUCGACAUUUUUUUGCUGUAAUUUACACUCAAUUAAAUUUCGUCGUUGGACUGAAGUCAAAAAUCCGCGAGCGUUCAUGAAUAGAGAAUGCUCAUAAAUCGUGUUAUUUUGCGCAUAAUUUCAUGAAGGAAGAAUUUACCAGAAUAAUAGGAUAACACUAGAGAACUUUUGUUUAGAUUCCUAGCUUUAAAAGAGACGUAUAAUUUAAGAAAAGGAAAAAUGGGUGCUAAGCAAGGUAAAUUAAAAGCGAGAUUGAAAGGCUCGAAAAUAGCAAAGAGACUAAAGCAGGGACCUCCCUCAAUAACAGCCGCACAGAAACAGAUUCUGGAGAAAUCCUGGUCUACGAUGAGAGAAGACAUAUCACAAGUGGGAAUUAUCACUUUUAUAGGGUUCUUUGAAGCUAACCCGGAAGUAAAACAUAUGUUUGUGUCAUUCCGAAGUGUACCUAUUGCGGAUUUGCGACAAAGUUCGUUGCUAAGAGCCCAUGCUUUACGUGUUAUGAGUAUGGUAGAGAAAUGUGUUACCAGAUUAGACGAAUUAGAUAAAAUAGAAGAAACCAUGAAAAAUCUGGGUCAAAGACAUUUAAAAUACGAUGCCGUUCCAGAAAAUAUCGAUUUAAUGGGUCCGCAUUUCGUCCAAGCCAUCAGAAAAUGUAUGGAAGCUGACUGGAACAAGGAAACGGAGGAGGCGUGGUUUCAAUUAUUCAAAUUGAUGACGUAUUAUAUGAAAGAGGGAUGGAAGUGACGUGUAUCAUUCGUCAUAUUGGCCGACUGUCGAGACGUCUGAUUGAUUGACAAGAAUGUGACAAGUGUGCUACUGACGUUUGAUCAUCGAAAACAAUAGAAUAAUAUUCCAUUCCAUUUAAUUCGACAGGGACUUUAUAUAAAACAAUCACCAUCCUGUCUAUCAAUAUGUGCCUGCUAGUGAGAGCUUUUUUGUGGAAACUAGAGGGAGCUUAUUAAAUUCAGAAUCUUUUAAUGAAAAUGUAUAUAACUCGAAUCAUAUAGGCUAUACUCGACUGAGCUUUCCAAUAACGCCUCAUACACAUCACAUGACAGUUGUACCCACACACUACCUCGGUUAUUGAGACUGAUAUAACUACGCCAAGGCUGAAUUCCAUGCCAGUCAUAUAACUACGCCAAGGCUGAAUUCCAUGCCAGUCAUAUAACUACGCCAAGGCUGAAUUCCAUGCCAGUCAUAUAACUACGCCAAGGCUGAAUUCCAUGCCGGUCGAUUGUAAUUACGUCAUAUCGGAACGUUCCGGAAAAUAAACAAGGUUACAUUUCGCAUUUAACAAUAACAAUACAUUAGGUUACGAUAUUAAUCUAGGUGGAAACGGACAUUUACCCCAGGGACUAUUAUUUUCGAUUUAAUUGCCUUAAAUGGAGUGUUAAAAUUAAUCUUGUAAUAGCCCUAUUGGGAUACAUUUAAUGAACCAAGGGACCCAAUAUUAAUGCGUGAAAGAUAUUACGGUUAAGUUGAACAAUGUAGGAAUGAAUGACUGAAUAGAAUGGUGCUUAACGUGCAAGUGUUCUCUUCCAACCUGGAUAAUUAAGACGGGCAUACUCCAUGGCAGUGUGGGUUGUGGGAAAUUUUACCCUGACAGCAAUUACGUACACGCCACUGUGUCUAUUUAAAAGAACUUAUUUGAUUGAGUGUUUCAUUAUAUAAAAGAACAAUAGAAAAAAAUGGUGGUCGUGAAAUUCUUAAUUUAAUUGAGAACUGGUGUUACAGAAGGAGUAAAGAAAUGUCUGAUUGGACGUUCCGGGAUUGAAUUCCCUCAAUUUAGCGAAUAGCGACAAUCAGUUGAUACAAAUUAUUUCAACCAAUCACAACAGCCGAAACAUAUUUAAAAUUACAUCACGAUUCUACUCACACACAAUCUGAUUAAAACACCGAUCCUAUUUCGUUUCGUUUUUUAUAGUACAAAAUUUCGUUUUACUUGUCUUAACCACACUAGGAUCUGGAAGAGGUGUGAUAUAACCCACUUUCUGAUUGAUGUGAGGGAUUAGCCAAUGAAACGGUCUAUUACGGCGAGUUCUUGGCGUGCUGUGCACGGAAAUGUGGGUAAACCACUAGAAACGUCAACGUGGUUUGAUUAAUCAAUGUCUUACGUCAUGGGGUCAAAAGUCGCUCGUAUGAACCCCGAAGCGACCUUCCACUACAACCGGUAAGAUCUUCAUGUAGUAGAGGCCAUCGAAAGUAUAAAAAAACGGAAUAUAGAUCUGUAUUUUAAUCAGAUUGACUGACACAUAUUGAAAGAACUGUGACGGGUCUGAAUUCCGUGUAAUUCCACCGUACUGUCCAUUCGGACCGUUUCAGAUUAACAAUCGUGUAUCCCUUUAGCAGAUACGGGAUUCGAUUCGAUUCUAUGAAAACUAUUUUACAUUAUUAUAAAAUGUGACUUAGAAUCAUUAUCGAUUGUCACAUUGUUGUUGUAUAGCGUGCAAUAAUGUCUGUGUGGGAUUAAAAACUUUAGAUCAGAAAAGAUUGAGCAGUCGACAAUGAAGAUAUAAAGGAGUUAUUGUAUUUGAUGCCGGAAAUAAAUGAGACGGGGUGAUUUAUCUAGAUUUAAAAGUUUCCGCUGUAUCUGAAAAAAAUUCCUGUCGAUUUCAAGAUUCACUAAUGAACAUUUCAGUGUUAUAAAAACAUCCGUUUAAACGGAAACUGACUCAAAUAUAUCCACUUGAAAACUUGAGUGCCGUUAAUUCUGUUCAUUCAGUAGUCUGCAUCCGCUUCCAGAGCAUUUCACCAAAUGUUUUAGUUAUAAGUUAAACCUAGACAAAAUAACCAUAUCGAAAUGGAUUCAAACAACUAAAGAUACAUUAUGUAAGAUUUAGAUCAAGAGCUGGCCGUUCUUGCUAUAAUAUAUAUAUAGGUCAAAAACAGAUAAUGUAAAAUGAAUAUGUUAAAAAUUUCAUUCAAAUUACUAUAUUCUGAAACAUGUUCCGUCUUCAUUAGCCCAGUCGGAGCAGAACAGUAGGACGUUUAACCCCAUUUCAUUUCAUUUCUAAAACAAGUUAUCACUAUUUGUAGUUUUGACAAGAUGUGUGCAUUGCUUGUAUAUUAUCGUAACCACGGAACUGGUAUAUUCGAGACUUAGCUUCAAUUUUUAAAUUAAAUCAUUAAAUGGCUGAAUCGUUCUAAUCUAGUUAAGAUCUAGCAUCCGAUGGCAUCGACAGUUGAUUAUGGUCUUGUUCUGUUAAACGGAAAGGCCUCAAGAAAGACCUGUAUUUUUGAAUUAAAUCAUUAAAUCGCCGAGACUUCUAGUUAAAAUCUCGAGCAUCUGAUGGCAUCGAGAGUUAAAUAUGGUCUUGUUAGGUUAAUAAACAUCUGAUUAAUGUGAUUAAUUUAUCUUUAACACAACUUUAGUUUAUGCCCAGUAUGGUAUAAAUAACAUCGAAUACGUCCAAGUACAAAUACAUUUUUCGAGUUUACACAGGAUUGAAUUCGAACGCUUGACUCACCACAUAACGUGGUGUAACCUACGGCAAAUUUCUUCAGCUUACAAAAGACACCGAAAUACUAGAAUCUCUGCAUUACGCUAUGCGGUAAUCUUAUUAUGCUGAGUUUCGUUCAUGCUGAAAGGGUAGUCAGUGGCGUCUUCAAUGUCUCCCAAAUCCUAACAAAUAUUUUGUUUUUAAUGAUAUCAUUUUGGCAAUUGCAUUCAGCUUGAUUGGGAAACUGUUAACGUUAUGAACAAGGGUAAAGGGAGAGAACUAUCAGUGUUGUUUCCUGGAAUCCAGUCGAUCUGACAGUCGAUUUUUGUUCAACUUUCGAUGGCCACUUUAUGGCAGGUUAACUUUUCAGAUUCCACUGAAGUGAAGAAAACAAAAUGAAAUUUGAAUAUUAAAAAAAACGAAACGUAAUAGAGUCUACGAUUUAAGCAGAUUGGGAAUUCGACAUAAAAUUAUAAUGAAUCAAAACCUGCGUGAGGCAUAAGUAUUACCUUAUGGAAUGUAGGCAAUCAGUUCUUAAUGGGGCAGUUGGUUUUUUUGGGGUUUUUUUUUUAAGGUGUGGGCCUCUGAUGAUUGCGGAAAUAGAAAACAGUGUACGACGCAUGCGUGUUAUUCAUGAUCAGGAAAUUGCUUACUUCCCGGGAAAACAUUGUCCCGUGUCUUACAUGAUUAAUCCAUUGCAAUGGGGGAAAAUAUUCGCGCGUGGGCUGUUAAUAAUAGCAGACUAGCCAUGGUUAACAAGCUAUUUCCAGUACCACAAAGUCUUAAUUAAACAUCAGUUCUUUGCUUUGCUAGUCCAAUCGACAUUCAAAAUAGGGUGUGUGGGGUGAUCGAUUGGUUUGCCAUUGACCCAAGUGGCGUUGUUUUGACGCCAAGCUUGUAAAUAGCCCUACGCACAAGCGAAUUAUUGAAAUUAAAUGUAUAUGUUACUCCUUGUGAGGUGUGGGGAGUGUUGAGAUUACUUUAAAUUCCCAUCUCACUUGUAUCUAGCCAUAAAAAUUACCAAACAUUUAGUAAUAAGUACGACCAUACUGUGAAGCAGGAUUUCGGAGUACUGUAAUUGGCGGAACCUUGGGCCUUUUUAUUGAGCGUCGUCACAAGAUUGCGAGUGUGGAUGCAGUUCCUGGUUCAAAUCUAUAUAUGAACCUGCCAGCAGCAAUAUGUAAUAUAAUAAACAUAUGAUGUUUGGAUGAUAUACAUGCAGAAGAAUAACAUUAAUUAUAUCACACACAUACAAUGUGACACAAUCCAUGUCCACGGGAUAUCUAAAAAUGUAGAUGAGAUUUUUAAAAUGUCGAUUAUCCCAUAGAUAGGUUUUCCUCCCGAUAAAGAUGUGAGAACCAGUACAUUCGUCGAAAUUUUGCCAAAAAUAAGCAUCCAAGUAAUUUAUGUUCAAUAUGCAUGUCCGUUUCUACAAUACCGCCUAACAACAUAUUUCAGCUUUAUAACAGUAUCUAACUUAAACCAAUUAACGGCAGUUCUUAAUGAAAAAUGUUGGUGUCCACCACUUUAACAUAUGAUGAGACUGGUUAAACACAUUCCAAAUAUAAUUUUAGCAUAGCAAUCUUUGCUAUGAUUGAUGAUUCCGGGAGUGAAACAAUCAUAGGAAACUAUGUGUUAUUGCCGACGGAAGUGCAGUGGACACCAACAUUAUCCUUUAUCUGAAUCUUUAAUUUAAAGACAUUAUUUGUUAUAGUACUAUCUGGUGUAUAUGAAUCUUGAAGAAAGCGCGAAUACCAUGAUUGUACUAUUUACGCUUUUCUUCUUUAAUUUUGUAUGUAGAUAUUUUUAGUUGUAACCAGGUUUUAGAGCAUAUUGAGCUCAAAAUGGCCUUAUAAUGUUUAUUGUAAUAGAAGUGCAUGUAAUAAAUAAAGCAAACAUCUUUGUAUAAAACGAA